GAUGAACGCUGGCGGCGUGCCUAAUACAUGCAAGUCGAGCGAACGGACGAGAAGCUUGCUUCUCUGAUGUUAGCGGCGGACGGGUGAGUAACACGUGGAUAACCUACCUAUAAGACUGGGCUAACUUCGGGAAACCGGAGCUAAUACCGGGUGAUAUUUUGACCCGCAUGGUUCAAAAGUGAAAGACGGUCUUGCUGUCGCUUAUAGAUGUAUCCGCGCUGCAUUAGCUAGAUGGUAAGGUAACGGCCUACCAAGGCAACGAAGCAUAGCCGACCGGAGAGGCGGAUAGGCCACCUGAGAGCGUGGACAGCGACACGGCGACUGAGGGAGGCAGCAGAAGGGAAUGUUCCGCAAUAGGGGAGAGCCUUACGGAGCAGCGCCGCGUGAGUGGUGGAGGUCUUCGGUUCGUAAAACUCUGUUAUGAGGUAAGAACAGAUGUGUAAGUAACUGUGCACAUCGUGACGGUACCUAAACAGAAAGCCACGGCUAACUACGUG
This 497-nucleotide ribosomal RNA is filed under the name uncultured bacterium. RNAcentral's name for it is "partial 16S ribosomal RNA". It matches the Rfam family "Bacterial small subunit ribosomal RNA", at positions 28 to 507 of the family's 1533-position model. The record is from RNAcentral.